UACGGAGGGGGCUAGCGUUAUUCGGAAUUACUGGGCGUAAAGCGCACGUAGGCGGCUCUGUAAGUUAGAGGUGAAAGCCUGGAGCUCAACUCCAGAAUUGCCUUUAAGACUGCAUCGCUUGAAUCCAGGAGAGGUGAGUGGAAUUCCGAGUGUAGAGGUGGAAAUUCGUAGAUAUUCGGAAGAACACCAGUGGCGAAGGCGGCUCACUGGACUGGUAUUGACGCUGAGGUGCGAAAGCG
Molecule: ribosomal RNA, 239 nt
Filed under: uncultured bacterium
Lineage: Bacteria
Description: partial 16S ribosomal RNA
Rfam family: Bacterial small subunit ribosomal RNA
Source: RNAcentral